Molecule: long non-coding RNA, 3054 nt
Organism: Oncorhynchus tshawytscha (Chinook salmon)
Lineage: Eukaryota; Metazoa; Chordata; Actinopteri; Salmoniformes; Salmonidae
Source: Ensembl
GUAGGGGGCAGUGUAUGCUGCUAAAGGUUGAAUGCGAUCCGCCAACCCAAUCUCAAAGAAGAAGAACGUAAUUCGCUAACGCCGUAUUUUCGAAAUGGCAUAUCUCGAGUUCAAGUUUGAGGACGAAAUUACUAAAUAUAUUCGGGAACAAGAAUUGGCAACGUCACUGAAAUUCGUAAUAUUGGGAAAGGACAAAAGUUUUGGACAAAAGGAUGCACAGCCUUUGGCACGGAAAAAACUCAGCUGGGAGAGUAAAAGUAUCCCGUUCAAUGGUGUUCCGUUUCAAGUUGUUGGCACAAAGACGUAUGAAUGCCACCAGGGCAAAGACAGACAGACAAAAGCCAAAGAGAAAUAUGCUGCUGAAAGAGACAAGAAGGAACUUGAAGACCAUGCCUUUGUAAAGAGACGGAAACUGGUACAAAAUACCAAAAAGGUGGACUGCAAGGCUAUAAUAAACAUCGCCCACGUUAUUCGCUUUCCUGAUUUUAAGAUUGAGGAAGGUACAGUGCGCUCUAAAAAGGAGGCCUCCCAAACUCUGAAGGCAGCACUAAGUGAAACACCCAGCUCCGUGAAGGCAGAGGUUGUCUACUGCGUCAGGUUCCCCUCCCUCUCUGAGCACAGCUCACAUGCAGUUGUUGGCGAGGCAGCUCAUGUUAGGGAAGCUGUAGAUGCCAGGCUGAGAGAGAAGAUUGAGCAGCUGACUCUGUCUGGUGUGAGAAAGAUGACUGAAAUGAAGUGUCAUCUGAACACCUUUGUAGUGGAAGAGCUUUUCCAUGGAGAGCAGCCCCCUCCACCUACUCGCAGGCGCUAUUACCCCACUGACAGUGACAUAAGAAAUGUCAUGUUUAAGACCAAGCGGGCCACCGGAGACUCCAACAUUGACCGUCCAUACGAAGGUCCAUCUGGAAGAGGAAAGAAGAGGUCCUCUAGGAAGCUGUUGCGGUUACGGAGGCAAUGUGCAGGAUAUCUUAAAGAGAUCACAGAACUCACUUAUCAUCUCCAAGAGGAACAGUACGUGACUGACCUGUCUUCACAGCUCAGAAGUGUGCUGCUGGAUAUGAAGGCCCAUGUUCCACAGGAUAAAGACCUUCCACUGACCUUUUCUCCAAGGAAGAGAAAAGCUGAGAUGGACAUGGACCUCAUUCCAACCAAGAGUGCAUCACACCCUUUCAUAGAUGGGUUAGAACAGCAUACAGAGGACAUAGUGAGUGUGGAUACCUUGUUGGCAUUGAGCCUAGGUUAGUAGGGCUGAGUGGAUACCUUGUUGGCAUUGAGCCUAGGUUAGUAGGGCUGAGUGGAUACCUUGUUGGCAUUGAGCCUAGGUUAGUAGGGCUGCGUGGAUACCUUGUUGGCAUUGACCCUAGGGUAGUAGGGCUGAGUGGAUACCUUGUUGGUAUUGAGCCUAGGUUAGUGGGGCUGAGUGGAUACCUUGUUGGCAUUGAGCCUAGGGUAGUAGGGCUGAGUGGAUACCUUGUUGGCAUUGAGCCUAGGUUAGUAGGGCUGUGUGGAUACCUUGUUGGUAUUGAGCCUAGGUUAGUAGGGCUGAGUGGAUACCUUGUUGGUAUUUAGCCUAGGGCUGAUGACUGUGUGGGUUCUGCCUCCAAUUGAGUAUAUUUUGGGUAGUGUAACUUUUAUUUCAACUAAUGUUACUGUAACGGAUGUGAAAUGGCUAGCUAGAUUAAAGUUAUACUGUUACAUUAACAACUUCAUUAAAACAUGUUUUCUCAUCUGUACAACAAAUACAUGACUAUAGUACGUCAUUUAGGAGGCAUAUAUAAACACACGGUUCCACUCAUCUGCAGCUACUCUGCACUUUAUUGUAUUCUGGUCUGUCCUGAUGCCUAGUCACUUUACCCUGCACAUUUAUCUCUUUGAUCUGGUACUUCCUGUAUAUAGCUGCACAUUGAUCUGGUACUGGUAAUCCCUGUAUAUAGCUGCGCAUUGAUCUGGUACUGGUAAUCCCUGUAUAUAGCUGCACAUUGAUCUGGUACUGGUAAUCCCUGUAUAUAGUUGCACAUUGAUCUGGUACUGGUAAUCCCUGUAUAUGGUGUUAUUAUUGUGUAUUCUAUUCCUCUUGUUACAAUCCCCAUGUUUUUUUAAAAACUUUGAAUCGUUGUGAAGGGCUGUAAGCAAGAAUUUCACGGUUAAGUCUACACACCUGUUAUAUUCGGCGCAUGUGACAAAUAAAAUUUGUUUUUGAAGUGCCCAAAUAAAGUAACAGGGUUGACCUUAAAAGUGUUGACGUUUAAUCUUAAAUCAGACCAUUUCUAAAUAUGCAUUAAUGACAGUUUCUUUGAAGCUGUGUAUGUUUUACUUGUGGAUUUUUUUUAAACAAAAAUUUAAAAUCAAGAUGUAUCAAUUUGUUUUUAUUUUUAUAAUGGCAUGUACAUAUUGGAGUAAACCUAUUUUGGGUUAAAACAACUAACACUCGAGUAAGGGCCAACAUGAUUAGCUUGCAACCUGAUUGAGUGGUUGAUCUGGUUGAGUGCAUUGUUUUACAACUAAGUAUUCCCUUUCCUUGAAUAAGCAACCUGGUCUCAGAGCAUUUGGUAUUAUUCUGUACGUAAAUCCAAGAUACUCAUUUUACUAUAUGUUUCAUAUGGUAUAUAUUAAUCUGGAGAUGUCCACCCAUUCCGUAUGAUAUCUUACGAAGUACAAUUAAUAUUCUAUUUUACGAAUUUGCAGAAAAUAUGCUAUGUUAUGAAUUCAAGCUAGGUGGGUAAUGUUCGCCAGGCUAGGGGUUAGGUUAGGGGAAGGGUUAGCUAACAUGCUAAGUAGUUGCAAAGUAACUAAAAUGCUAAAGUUGUCCGUGAUGAGAUUCAAACUCGCAACCUUUGGCUGUGUGUUCAUACACCUACCCAGCCCCCUGACUUCAGUAACUAUACCAAACGUAACAUACGGUGCAUUCAGAAAGUAUUCAGACCCCUUCCCUUUUUCCACAUUUUGUUACGUUACAGCCUUAUUCUAAAAUUGAUUAAAUUAAAUGUUCAUCAAUCAACACACCUUACCCCCUAAUGACAAAGUCUAAAAAAAAUAAAUGCUAAUGAUAAAGCG